AUGGAGUUUGGGCUGAGCUGGGUUUUCCUUGUUGUUAUUUUACAAGGUGUCCAGUGUGAGGUGCAGCUGGUGGAGUCUGGGGGAGGCUUGGUCCAGCCUGGAGGGUCCCUGAGACUCUCCUGUGCAGCCUCUGGAUUCACCUUCAGUGACCACUACAUGGACUGGGUCCGCCAGGCUCCAGGGAAGGGGCUGGAGUGGGUUGGCCGUACUAGAAACAAAGCUAACAGUUACACCACAGAAUACGCCGCGUCUGUGAAAGGCAGAUUCACCAUCUCAAGAGAUGAUUCAAAGAACUCACUGUAUCUGCAAAUGAACAGCCUGAAAACCGAGGACACGGCCGUGUAUUACUGUGCUAGAGA
This is a non-coding RNA of Homo sapiens (human), 359 nucleotides long. NCBI's taxonomy places the organism in Eukaryota, Metazoa, Chordata, Mammalia, Primates, Hominidae. The record is from the annotation of a RefSeq genome assembly.